GUGCUUCGUCCCUGACUCACCUUUUCCGUGCACUGCUGUACAUUUCUGUUGAGCACCACAUUACACCUCAUGCCAUUAACAUUAAACUGUGAAGAUAUGAAGACUGUAUGGUUGUGUGGCUGGGUGACACGUAGCACUGAACUCAAUGCAUUGAUAUUAUUUUGUGUAUUUCAGUAGUAUGUUGAUAUGGCAGGUCAUUUUCCCUCACAAGAAAUGCUCCCAAAAUGAGGCACAAAAGUUUCUAGUUUUUGUUCUCAUCAGUGUCAGGUGUUGGAUAAAGAGCCUAAACUGCAUUUUGCUAGACAGUUGAUCAUUUCCUUGUUUUGCUGAAAAAAAAAAAUAAUAAUAAUAAUUGCCUGCAAAUAUGUUGCCAGUCAGAUGAGCACAGCCAUGUGUCAGUGUUCAUCACUAAUUUAUAUCAAUCUCUCUCUCUCUCUCUCUCUCUCUCUCUCUCUCUCUCUCUCUCUCUCUCUCUCUCUCUCUCUCUCUCUCUCUCUCUCUCUCUCU
Long non-coding RNA from Scylla paramamosain (green mud crab), 507 nucleotides. RefSeq lists it as uncharacterized. The record is from RefSeq and is a predicted model, not a curated record. The transcript has 2 exons. NCBI's taxonomy places the organism in Eukaryota, Metazoa, Arthropoda, Malacostraca, Decapoda, Portunidae.